Molecule: ribosomal RNA, 335 nt
Filed under: uncultured bacterium
Lineage: Bacteria
Description: bacterial SSU rRNA
Rfam family: Bacterial small subunit ribosomal RNA
Source: RNAcentral
GAUGAACGCUGGCGGCGUGCUUAACACAUGCAAGUCGAACGGGGUUAUCAUUUUUGAAGCGAUUAGCUUGCUAAGAGUGGAAAAGUUGAUAACUUAGUGGCGGACGGGUGAGUAACGCGUGGGUAACCUGCCUUACACAGGGGGAUAACACUUAGAAAUAGGUGCUAAUACCGCAUAAGCGCACAGUCCCGCAUGGGACAGAGUGAAAAACAUUAGUGGUGUAAGAUGGACCCGCGUCUGAUUAGCUGGUUGGCGGGGUAACGGCCCACCAAGGCGACGAUCAGUAGCCGGCCUGAGAGGGUGGACGGCCACAUUGGGACUGAGACACGGCCCAA